Hipposideros armiger (great roundleaf bat) is the source of this 1922-nucleotide long non-coding RNA. RefSeq lists it as uncharacterized. The transcript has 2 exons. Lineage: Eukaryota; Metazoa; Chordata; Mammalia; Chiroptera; Hipposideridae. The record is from RefSeq and is a predicted model, not a curated record.
AAUGAUAUAAUACUGCUUGUAUUUUACUUCUCUUGGACAGUGCUGGCCUAUAACAUCACUCCUUUUGGUCCAUGGAUUAAUUUUCAGAAGAGGUACUGCGUGAAAUACAAUUAUUUCAUGUUUGUCAGCUGUCUACUUUACCCGGCUUUUUUCCAUGUGGAGAUUUGGGGACCUCAAGAGUUGUUAUUAUAGUGCAUGAGACCUAAUAGUGACUGCUUUGCCGAUUUCUAUGCAGGAAGUGUGCCCUAUUCUGGAAGGUCAAUACAAAUGUGCAGGGUACUAGAAGGGCUAGUGGGGGAGUGGCAUAGGACAAUUUAGGUACCAACACAUCUGGUUAUAGCUGCUUUUUAAAAGGCUCCCGGGCAUGCCAAAAUAUAUCAGAGAGCAGUGUGUGGCAUAGUAACAGUUGUGAUACCUGGUGACAUAUUUGCGAUUCCACUUACCACUCACCUUUGUUUAUUUUUUCUUCUUUUCAUUUAUUUUCUACCCCCAUGCCCCAUCAUAGCUCCACUGGUGGUAAUUGAGCCCAGAAGGUUUACUGAUCCCUUUCCUCCAAAAAAGUCUAAUGCUGACCUGAAUAGAGAUAGUGCUGUGUUUGGGGUUUGGUUUUAUCUAAUGAGAUGCAGUAAUGGUGCUCGAAGGGACUUAGAGGCCAUUUAGCACUCUACCCCUUCAUUUUAUCCAUGAUACACUGUCAGUUGUCUUGCCUACGACCGUACUGACAAAGGCUGGAAUUAAACAUACACUUUUGUUGAUAACUUAUUUAGAGAAUCCCUGAGAAAUGAAGAGAGGUUCAUCAAUUAAUCAAACGUUUAUUGAGCUUGUACUUUGUGAGAAGGACUGUGACUAGUGUUGUGAAAGGACACGAAGAAAACAGCCUCUGACUUUAGGAACAAUACUGUCGAUUUGAGGAAAUAAGAGGUGAACUGCCAACUUGAAUUAUGGUAUAAGAUGUAGCCCUUAAUAAUGAGUGUAACACCACUGUGGCAUGUGUUACAAGUAGAAAUGUGUUCAUUUUACACAUGUAGGAGUAGACGCUCUGAGAAUGGUGGACUCUGCAGAAAAGCGGUGUAAAAGUGUUUCUGGAACAGCCCACAGCUCUAGAAUUGGAGCAUCACCACUUGCUGGACUGUGACCCUACUUUUUCUUCUGCUUCCCCACAUCUCGAACCAGAAGGGAAUCUUUCAGCCUUUCACUUCAUGGGGAGCCUUCGGAGGAAGUCACGCAGUCACCUGGAAAAGAUGCCGCCAGCCACCACAGUGACUGACAGGCUGCCCUGGCUCAGUUAUCACAGUGCUGAUGCUGUCCAUUCUAAAGGUACAGUACUGUGAUAACUGAAGGAUGGCAGCCAUCUUGCCUUCCAUAUCAGAGGAGUCCCAUCGUGCCCAGGGAGGAAGACAGAAGAUGAAAGAGGCACGUGAAACAGGUGCGGCGUCCCAGAAACGCUCUUAACGCUGUUCCUGUUUUGUACCUUCCCUAGAGCAUAGGAAAUGUUAUUCCGUCUGUCUUUGCCUUAUUUUUUAACAUAAGGAUAAAGAGGAGUUAGGUCAUUGUUUGCACAGCAGGGUGAAGAUUUGUACUGAGUGGACAUAUAUUAAGAUCUUUGGAACUUUAAGAGUCUGAUAUUAGAUAAAUACUAAGUGUGAAUUAGUGUUUUUGGAGUGGUAUUCAGAGAAAUUUGCCGUAUUUUAUACAUGUAAGAGGUAACCUGAUUAGAAUAACUUGGCAUUUACAAUAUUAGAUGUUCAGAAUGAAAUUCAACUUAAACGGGGAGAAAAAAGCCCUACAUGUUGAACAGUAUUGAUAUAAUUGCAUGAAUAAAAUUACAUCUUUGUGUUUGAGGAAUGGAUAGGCACAUGGCAUGUUUCUUUCAGGGACAUAAAUAUUUAAAAUCUAGUCUAAUUUAAAAAGUGUCUGUUGAA